Molecule: ribosomal RNA, 433 nt
Filed under: uncultured bacterium
Lineage: Bacteria
Description: partial 16S ribosomal RNA
Rfam family: Bacterial small subunit ribosomal RNA
Source: RNAcentral
AACGAACGCUGGCGGCAGGCCUAACACAUGCAAGUCGAGCGGACCCUUCGGGGUUAGCGGCGGACGGGUGAGUAACGCGUGGGAAUAUGCCCUUCUCUACGGAAUAGUCCUGGGAAACUGGGGGUAAUACCGUAUACGCCCUUUGGGGGAAAGAUUUAUCGGGGAAGGAUUAGCCGGCGUUGGAUUAGGUAGUUGGUGGGGUAAUGGCCUACCAAGCCGACGAUCCAUAGCUGGUUUGAGAGGAUGAUCAGCCACACUGGGACUGAGACACGGCCCAGACUCCUACGGGAGGCAGCAGUGGGGAAUCUUAGACAAUGGGGGCAACCCUGAUCGAGCCAUGCCGCGUGAGUGAUGAAGGCCUUAGGGUUGUAAAGCUCUUUCAGCUGGGAAGAUAAUGACGGUACCAGCAGAAGAAGCCCCGGCUAACUCCGUG